CAUGCAAGUCGAGCGGCAGCGACUUAACUGAACCUUCGGGGAACGUUAAGGGCGGCGAGCGGCGGACGGGUGAGUAAUGCCUGGGAAAUUGCCCUGAUGUGGGGGAUAACCAUUGGAAACGAUGGCUAAUACCGCAUGAUAGCUUCGGCUCACAGAGGGGGACCUUCAGGCCUCUCGCGUCAGGAUAUGCCCAGGUGGGAUUAGCUAGUUGGUGAGGUAAGGGCUCACCAAGGCGACGAUCCCUAGCUGGUCUGACAGGAUGAUCAGCCACACUGGAACUGACACACGGUCCAGACUCCUACGGGAGGCACCAGUGGGGAAUAUUGCACAAUGGGCGCAAGCCUGAUGCAGCCAUGCCGCGAUGUAUGAAGAAGGCCUUCGGGUUGUAAAGUACUUUCAUCAGUGAGGAAGGCGGGUGUGUUAAUAGCGCAUUCGUUUGACGUUAGCUGCAUAAGAAGCACCGGCUAACUCCGUGCCAGCAUCCGCGGUAAUACGGAGCGUGCGAGCGUUAAUCGGAAUUACUGGGCGUAAAGCGCAUGCAGGUGGUUUGUUAAGCUCAGAUGUGAAAGCCCGGGGCUCAACCUCGGAAUUGCACUUUGAAACUGGUACGCUAGAGUACUGUAGAGGGGGGGUACAAUUUUCAGUGUAGCGAUGAAAUGCGUAGAGAUCUAGAAUGGAAUACCGGUGGCGAAGAGCCGCCCCCCUGGGACAGAUACUCGACAUCUCAUAUGCCAAGAGCGCUGGGGAUGCAAACACGAUGUAGAUACCCCUGGGUAGUC
Molecule: ribosomal RNA, 779 nt
Filed under: Vibrio sp.
Lineage: Bacteria; Pseudomonadati; Pseudomonadota; Gammaproteobacteria; Vibrionales; Vibrionaceae
Description: bacterial SSU rRNA
Rfam family: Bacterial small subunit ribosomal RNA
Source: RNAcentral